GGGCAUGAGUUCUUGACUUGAAAAAAUAGAGGAGGAUCCUCUUCUCUUUGGGUGUGCGCAAAACCUAGGUUUUUAGGGUUUUAUUCCUCAGGAUUUGGAAAGAGAGAAAAAAUAAGAAAAAUAUUGUUUUCUUCUCUAUCUUUUUUUCACCUCUUCAUCUCCUCUAGAAAUCCAUUUUUAAUCUCUGAAAAAAUUUUAGAGAUUUAAAAAAAAAGAUCCAGAUCAGUCAAGAAGAAGGUCUUCGUAUGAACUAACAUUCUCGAGAAGACCGAGCA
Molecule: long non-coding RNA, 275 nt
Filed under: Elaeis guineensis (African oil palm)
Lineage: Eukaryota; Viridiplantae; Streptophyta; Magnoliopsida; Arecales; Arecaceae
Description: long non-coding RNA (EGUI_LNC066808)
Source: RNAcentral